This 253-nucleotide ribosomal RNA is filed under the name uncultured bacterium. RNAcentral's name for it is "partial 16S ribosomal RNA". It matches the Rfam family "Bacterial small subunit ribosomal RNA", at positions 524 to 776 of the family's 1533-position model. The record is from RNAcentral.
UACGUAGGGUGCGAGCGUUGUCCGGAAUUAUUGGGCGUAAAGCGCGCGCAGGCGGCUAUCCAAGUCAGUGGUGAAAGCCCGGAGCUCAACUCCGGAACUGCCAUUGAAACUGUUUAGCUUGAGGACGAGAGAGGUGAGUGGAAUUCCCAGUGUAGAGGUGAAAUUCGUAGAUAUUGGGAAGAACACCGGUGGCGAAGGCGGCUCACUGGCUCGUAUCUGACGCUCAGGCGCGACAGCGUGGGGAUCAAACAGG